UUUUUUUUUUUUGGAGAUGGAGUCUCGCUCUGUUGCCCAGGCUGGAGUGCAGUGGCAUGAUCUUGGCUCACUCUCUGCCUCCUGGGUUCAAGCAAUUCUCCUGCCUCAGCCUCCCAAGUAGCUGGGAUUACAGGCGCCCGCCACCACGCCCAGCUAAUUUUUGUAUUUUUUGUAGAGACGGGGUUUCACCAUGUUGGCCAGGCUGGUCUCAAACUCCUGACCUCGUGAUCCACCCGCCUCGGCCUCCCAAAGUGCUGGAAUUACAGGCGUGAGCCACCGCGUCCAGCCUCUGUUGCUUCCUUUAAAUGCCGGCAGUCCACAGCUUGGGGAGUCUCCCACACACGUCCCGGUGUCCAAGCUCUCCCAGCAGCUGGUACUCCUCUCCCCCAGGGCUGGUGGGCCUGUCGCUGUCUUACGCCCUGUCCCUGACGGGCCUGCUCUCGGGCCUGGUGAGCAGCUUCACACAGACAGAGGCCAUGCUGGUGAGCGUCGAGCGGCUGGAAGAGUACUCCUGUGACCUGCCCCAGGAACCCCAGGGCCAGCCACUGCAGUUGGGCACCGGCUGGCUGACCCAGGGGGGCGUGGAGUUCCAGGACGUGGUGUUGGCGUACCGGCCAGGGCUGCCAAAUGCCCUGGAUGGAGUGACUUUUUGCGUGCAGCCUGGAGAGAAGUUGGGCAUCGUGGGCCGCACGGGCUCCGGCAAGUCUUCCCUGUUGUUGGUGCUCUUCCG
Molecule: small RNA, 730 nt
Filed under: Pongo abelii (Sumatran orangutan)
Lineage: Eukaryota; Metazoa; Chordata; Mammalia; Primates; Hominidae
Description: retained intron
Source: RNAcentral